UGAAAAGGAUCGGAUGGAUCAGAAGAGGCAAGAACGACUUUGCCGUCACGGAUAGUGAGAGAGUAAUUGGGAUCAGCCUUUGUAUAAACCCUAAAUGAAGGCUUAUCGAUGAGCUCUGGAUGUGGUGAGGUCUCAUGGUGGAAGAAUGAAGGCACAUGUGGUUGAAAACGAUGAUGAUCAUGCUGACGAUGAACGCUCUCACUCUCACUCUCGUGAGACACGUGUUCGACGGAGGAAUAACUAGGUGGUUGCGGUGGUGGCGGGCCCUCAUAAUAAGGCGGUGUACGAUUAUAAGAUCCACCAU
This 304-nucleotide long non-coding RNA is filed under the name Nicotiana tabacum (common tobacco). RNAcentral describes it as "long non-coding RNA (NTAB_LNC003146)". The record is from RNAcentral. Lineage: Eukaryota; Viridiplantae; Streptophyta; Magnoliopsida; Solanales; Solanaceae.